This 253-nucleotide unclassified non-coding RNA is filed under the name uncultured Sphingomonadaceae bacterium. RNAcentral describes it as "contains 16S-23S intergenic spacer region". It matches the Rfam family "Bacterial small subunit ribosomal RNA", at positions 524 to 776 of the family's 1533-position model. The record is from RNAcentral. Lineage: Bacteria; Pseudomonadati; Pseudomonadota; Alphaproteobacteria; Sphingomonadales; Sphingomonadaceae.
UACGGAGGGGGCUAGCGUUGUUCGGAAAUACUGGGCGUAAAGCGAACGUAGGCGGCUUGGCAAGUCAGGGGUGAAAUCCCGGAGCUCAACUCCGGAACUGCCUUUGAAACUGCUUAGCUAGAAUCCUGGAGAGGCGAGUGGAAUUCCGAGUGUAGAGGUGAAAUUCGUAGAUAUUCGGAAGAACACCAGUGGCGAAGGCGACUCGCUGGACAGGUAUUGACGCUGAGGUUCGAAAGCGUGGGGAGCAAACAGG